CAGUCGCCACGGGAAUACGUAGGGUCCGAGCGUUGUCCGGAAUUACUGGGCGUAAAGAGCUCGUAGGUGGUUUGUCGCGUUGUUCGUGAAAACUCACAGCUUAACUGUGGGCGUGCGGGCGAUACGGGCAGACUAGAGUACUGCAGGGGAGACUGGAAUUCCUGGUGUAGCGGUGGAAUGCGCAGAUAUCAGGAGGAACACCGGUGGCGAGGGCGGGUCUCUGGGCAGUAACUGACGCUGAGGAGCGAAAGCGUGGGGAGCGAACAGGAUUAGAUACCCCAGUAGUCCCUGUCUCUUAUAC
RNAcentral lists this ribosomal RNA (301 nucleotides) under uncultured bacterium. Its description in RNAcentral is "partial 16S ribosomal RNA". It matches the Rfam family "Bacterial small subunit ribosomal RNA", at positions 509 to 807 of the family's 1533-position model. The record is from RNAcentral.